Molecule: unclassified non-coding RNA, 332 nt
Filed under: Hevea brasiliensis (rubber tree)
Lineage: Eukaryota; Viridiplantae; Streptophyta; Magnoliopsida; Malpighiales; Euphorbiaceae
Source: RNAcentral
UCUCUAUUGCACUACAUGAUGCCUAAAAAAAAACCCAGAUGUUAAAACCGCCAUAAUAGAUGCCAGAGAAGAAUAUAAUAGAAGCAUUCAAAAAGAGAUUUUAGCCAAUGUGAAGAUUUACCGAGGAUGAAAGAGAAUUUAAUCAAUCAGAGAUUAACGAAAUUAAUCUCAUAGGUAAUCCUAAUAUAUUAAUUCAACAACAAAUUUUGUUAAAAAAAAAAAGGAGUAAAAACGGCAGAAAAAUGAAACAUAUAUAUAGAAGAAGAAACCAGGUAAGCAAACCUCUGCAACAAAAAAAAUUAAUAAAUAAUAAAACCCAUAGUUUGUGAGGG